UAGGGAAUAUUGCUUAAUGGGCGAAAGCCUGAAGCAGCAACGCCGCGUGUACGAUGAAGGCCUUCGGGUUGUAAAGUACUUUUGCAGGGGAUGAGGAAGGACAGUACCCUGAGAAUAAGUCUCGGCUAACUACGUGCCAGCAGCCGCGGUAAAACGUAGGAGACGAGCGUUAUCCGGAUUUACUGGGCGUAAAGCGCGUGCAGGCGGCACGGAAAGUUGGAUGUGAAAGCUCCCGGCUUAACUGGGAGAGGUCGUUCAAAACUACCGAGCUAGAGUAUGGGAGAGGGAAGCGGAAUUCCGGGUGUAGUGGUGAAAUGCGUAGAUAUCCGGAGGAACACCAGUGGCGAAAGCGGCUUCCUGGCCCGAGACUGACGCUCAGACGCGAAAGCUAGGGUAGCAA
RNAcentral lists this ribosomal RNA (400 nucleotides) under uncultured bacterium. Its description in RNAcentral is "bacterial SSU rRNA". It matches the Rfam family "Bacterial small subunit ribosomal RNA", at positions 355 to 771 of the family's 1533-position model. The record is from RNAcentral.